RNAcentral lists this small RNA (682 nucleotides) under Xanthomonas vasicola pv. vasculorum. Its description in RNAcentral is "bacterial LSU rRNA". The stretch from base 235 to 682 matches the Rfam family "Bacterial large subunit ribosomal RNA", at positions 1 to 502 of the family's 2925-position model. The record is from RNAcentral. Lineage: Bacteria; Pseudomonadati; Pseudomonadota; Gammaproteobacteria; Lysobacterales; Lysobacteraceae.
CCACCACUCUGAAUGUAGUGCACACUUAAGAAUUUAUAUGGAUCAGCGUUGAGGCUGAGACAUGUUCUUUUAUAACUUGUGACGUAGCGAGCGUUUGAGAUAUCUAUCUAAACGUGUCGUUGAGGCUAAGGCGGGGACUUCGAGUCCCUAAAUAAUUGAGUCGUAUGUUCGCGUUGGUGGCUUUGUACCCCACACAACACGUACAUGUAACUCCGAGGCAACUUGGGGUUAUAUGGUCAAGCGAAUAAGCGCACACGGUGGAUGCCUAGGCGGUCAGAGGCGAUGAAGGACGUGGUAGCCUGCGAAAAGUGUCGGGGAGCUGGCAACAAGCUUUGAUCCGGCAAUAUCCGAAUGGGGAAACCCACUGCUUCGGCAGUAUCCUGCAGUGAAUUCAUAGCUGCUGGAAGCGAACCCGGUGAACUGAAAUAUCUAAGUAACCGGAGGAAAAGAAAUCAACCGAGAUUCCCUAAGUAGUGACGAGCGAACGGGGAGCAGCCCUUAAGCUGGAAUGGCUUUAGAAAAACAAUCUGGAAAGAUUGGCCAUAGAAGGUGAUAGCCCUGUAUUUAAAAGGGCCACUCCAGUGAAGACGAGUAGGGCGGGGCACGUGAAACCCUGUCUGAAUAUGGGGGGACCAUCCUCCAAGGCUAAAUACUCCUGACCGACCGAUAGUGAACCAGUACC